RNAcentral lists this ribosomal RNA (2928 nucleotides) under Bacillus subtilis subsp. subtilis str. BSP1. RNAcentral's name for it is "23S ribosomal RNA". The record is from RNAcentral. Lineage: Bacteria; Bacillati; Bacillota; Bacilli; Caryophanales; Bacillaceae.
CAAUGCCGUGGGAACCUUUAGGGAGUGAAGUGCCCAGUAUGCUUUCAUAGCCUGAGUCGCCAAGAUAAAAGAAAGCGGCAAUCGGGAUGACGGGGCCGAAAACCUUAAAACCGAACUUAAAUCCGUCAAUAAAAUAGCCGGUGAUUUUUUCAAGCCCUUUAUGCUUAUACACGAAAAAAUGAACGGUAAAGAGGAUACAAAUUGCAGACCCGCCAAUUAACGCGGUUGCAUCAUUUCCUUGUAGGUUAAACAAGAGCAUGCAGGCGAUAUCUGCAAGAAAGGCAAGCGGAAUCAAAAAAGCCAGUAUGGACCGCAGGCGUUUUGGCAAGUACAGCGAGUUGUCUUGUUCGCCGGAAAGAACGGGGGAAAAAGAAGCGGGAUGCUCCUGUUUUUUGCGUUCGCGCUGAAUCAUGAUAAAGGCAGCAGUUGUUGUUGUCACACCCAUAAUCAGCACAAGCGGAAUACUGGCCGAGACGACAUCACCGACUGGAAUGCCUGCUGCAUCCGCAGUCAGCUUUGGCGCCGCCUGAAUGACAAAGUCUCCUGACAGGGCAAAACCGUGUCCGAAUAAGUUCAUGGCCAUGGCCGCGGCAAGAGGUGUCAAACCGGCACGUGCGGCUGCGGGGAGCAGGACGGCGCCGAUCAAAGCGACACCCGGAGAAGGCCAGAAGAAUAGAGAAAUGGCGAACAUCAGGCCUCCAAUCAGCCAAUAGGCAGUCACAGGCCCUCUCACAAGGCUUGCAAAGGGAGAAAUCAUCGCUUCAUUUAUCCCUGUUUUUGUUAACAAAUCACUCAUUGAAACGAUAAAGCAAAUGAUGAAAAUCGUGGGCAGCAGUUCGCCGGCCGCAUAGAUAAAGCUGUGGAAUAAACUGCUGACAGAAGCUGAAAGUGAAUGGCUGGCCCAUAGCGAUAUGAUAAAAAUGCCGAAUAGAGAAAUAAAUGUCGUGUCUUUUCUCAGCAGCAUAAAUAGGAUAAUUGCACCGAUAAAAAACACAUACAGAACAUGGACAGGCAAAAUCCCGACUUCCAUCAUCGAUCACUCCUUCCGCUUACAGAUUAUUCAUAGGCGGGCGGAAGGUGCCGGGACAGAGGGGAAGGUUAUGAUGGAAGAUGAACAUUGAUCUGUUUCAGCUGCUCAAUCAGAUGAUGCCUUAAUCCUCUAUUCGCUUUUUGCAGAUGUUUUGGGAAGCAUUCAGGAGAAAAAAUGACGCACCCUUCAGCAAGCCAGUUUUUUCUAUAGGCGAUGAUGCUUUCCGAUGGCUCUAUAUGAGUUAUCCUCGUGCUGCAUCUCGUACUCAUCAAAUCCGAACUGAAAACCGCAGCACGGGCAGAUUUCAUGAGAAUGAUUGCCUUCAUGAUCAUAUGGCGGUUCAGCCAAUCCUUAAACCCGCAGACUGGGCAAGUAUGCUUCAUUUUGCUUUCCUCCCAAUAAAAUAAGCUGCCGGACAUGCCGGCAGCUAUUCGACAGCGAAAUAUGUGGUGACAUAGGAAGGCCGGGAGAAGAUCGACGUUGUGUCAAUUCCGGCAGAUGUAUCGCGUUUUUUGUGGGCUUCUUUGUAAGAACCGGACUGCUGCCAGUCUUGAAAGGCGCUUUCCGUUUCCCACAAGGUCAGAAUGACAUAGGUGUCACUGUCAAGCGGACGGAGCACUCGAAUUGCUUCAAAGCCAGGCUCAUUUUCGACUUUUCCCGCUCUGUUUUUAAAUCUGUUUUCAAACAGCGGACGCCCUUCCUGAGUGACGGCAAUAUUGUUCAAUACUGCAAAACCGGGAUGCUUGAUCUCUCCGACUUGGUCAAUGACUUCAUAAGCGUGUGGUGCCUGGAAAACGGUUUCUCCGUUUGUUUCAUGAAUCAAAAUGGCGUUUUCCUGCCCCUGCAUCAAAAGGAUAUUUUCUGAGGGAUGCUUCUCUACGAUCGUUUUUAAAAAAUCGGCUGUCCCAUAUGUAAUAUAAACCUUCAUAUCAGCCACCUCCUGCUUGCUAGUAUAUCAAAACAAUGGUAUAAGUUUCUAUUGGCGAGUGCUUCGAACAUAAUUCCAAACAAUUUUUCCCAUACUACCUUUAGAAAGGCGAGGUGAGUUCAUGUUUAAGAUAAAGAAAAAGAAACUUUUUAUACCUAUCAUUAUUUUAGUGUUAACUGCUUUUCUCGCUUUAAUAGGAUAUAUUUCAAUUAUUUUUCUCGGCCAUUAUGUCAUAGAUGAAAAGAAGCUGAUACUUCAUGCUUCUUCAAAAAUUGUUGAUCAAAACGGAGAUGAGGUUGCAAGCCUGUAUACAGAAAAUCGUGAGCCGGUCUCGAUCAAUGAGAUUCCAAAGCAGGUCAGAGAAGCGUUUAUCGCUGUUGAGGAUAAAAGGUUCUAUGAGCAUCACGGCAUUGAUGCAAAAUCUGUCGGAAGGGCAGUGUAUCGCGAUAUAUUAGCAGGCGGAAAGGUGGAAGGCGGAAGCACGAUCACCCAGCAGCUUGCCAAAAAUAUUUUUCUGACACAUGACAAAACGUUUCUAAGAAAAACAAAAGAAGUGAUCAUUGCGAUCAAUCUUGAACGGGAUUACAGCAAGGACAAGCUGCUUGAAAUGUAUUUAAAUCAGCUUUACUUCGGACAUGGGGUUUACGGCAUACAAGCGGCGUCCCACUAUUAUUUUAAUAAAGAAGUAAAAGAUUUGACUGUAUCUGAAGGCGCUGUUUUGGCCGCUAUUCCGAAGGCGCCUUCUACGUACUCUCCAAUUUUGCACCCUGAUAAAAAUAAGGAGCGGCGUGAUACAAUUCUAGGUAUGAUGAAUGACCAAGGCUAUAUCAGUGCGAAAGAGGCUGUCACCGCACAGGGCCGAACGCUUGGACUGCACGUGAAGAAACAGUCGGAAACACCUUGGUUUGACAGCUACAUUGACCUUGUGAUCAAAGAGGCGGAAGACAAGUAUUCCAUUUCCGGAGAGCAG